Long non-coding RNA from Gallus gallus (chicken), 2115 nucleotides. The record is from Ensembl. Lineage: Eukaryota; Metazoa; Chordata; Aves; Galliformes; Phasianidae.
AGUGUUCCCUUCCCAUCCUUUGUGCCUACAUCAGGUCCUAACCGUAGUGAUUCCAUUGUCUGGAGCCCCUGGUAAAGGCUGCACUCAGGAUGGGUCCAUUGCAAUGCAAGCUGCAGAGCCUGACACAGACCUUGACCCCAAGUACUUGGAGGUGUGUAAUAUGACCUGCUGUGCCAUGACACCUGCUGAAUGCAGUCACUCUGGACAUGCUUGUUGCCUCCUGCUCUCCAAGAAAACAAGAGUGAUGCAAACAACAGCAGCCAUUCUGCCUAAGAAAUGUUGGAGCUUCUUCUUGAUGAUACAGCUUUCGCUUUCUGUGUUCCUCAUUCACUCCACAGUGGGACAGCCUUUUGGUGAAUGUGCUGGUGUUGAGCAAGGGACAGAAAUGAAGAGUGCAGUGCAUGCAGCAGGCAAAGCUGCACAAACCCCUUUUGGAAGGAGAUGGUCACUGUCACCAGCACAGUUCCUUACAGGGACUGUGUACUUCGCUGCUGCAUCUCACCGUCGCCUGCAGACUCAGCUUUGUCACCCAUCAUCGCAGCACAAAACAUCGGAGAUGGGUAGAUGGGAGAGUGAGAAGGUGGAACCAGGAAGCGCCAGGCUCUGGGGCUCAGAGCAAUGGCUGCAAGGUAUUCAGCUGUUGUCUGCCUUACCGGAGGAUAAAUACAACCGCGUUGCUGUCUGCAACUCCCCUGAAAGCAGGCUAUGGUUUAAGGGGCUGGGGAAAGGAUUGGGGUGGGCAGUUUUCAUCAUGAGCAGGCAGGCUCCCACCUGCUGGAAGCUUCGGCCCCACCCGGAGAUCAAGCAGGCAGGAAUAGCAAGAUUUUUUUGCAUCACGUCGGGUUCACCUCUCAUUCAAAUGCAUCAUCACAGAUAUCAGCUCUGACAGCUGCUCUCUGUGCAAUGAGUGUGCAGCGUUCGGGUCAUCGAGAUCAAAGCCUGUGUUUGUCCCCGGACUUUCACCAAUUAAGAAGAAAAAACAAUGCUUAUCAGGAAAGCCUGUGUGAAGGACACUUCUCCAGUGAUCCCUGCUUUUCCAUUGCUCUCCCUUGCUCAGUGCUAUUUUCUGCAGCAGUCCUAUCUGGAAUAAACCCGUGGGCAGUGCCUGGCACCGAGGUGUUCUGGGGGAUGCACGUUUCCUUAGGGGGAAGGCAGGAAGGAAAAAGGAUGUGCUGGAGAUCAGAGUGCUGCUUCCAGAGCUGCAGAAGUGGUAUGAAGUGCCUGAGGUCUGGAGAAGGUGAAGCCAGACAACUGAAAAGCAAGAGAGCAGCGUGUAGAGAAGAAGGCGGGAGGAGAGACAAUGAAACAAAAUCCUAAGCGCAGGUUUAGCAGCAAUUUUUAAAUCCAAUUUUCCUAUCAUGUGAUUUCUAACAGCUUGCAAUCAGCUCAGUGCUUGUGCUGUAUGAGCAGGCAUUUGACCAUCUCUGCUGGUUCCACGCUUGUUACCACCGGUUCCCGAAAUCCCUGCCCGCACAGGUGCGUCCCUAAUGGGGAAGAAAUGCGGCUGUACCUCUGGGAAAUGCAUGGGGAGAGUGCCGCUGCGUGGUGGCACGGGGAAUUCCACUGCCCCUUCCCUCGGAGUGCUCCGAUAGAUGGCAAAGCGCUGUGUGCGUCCUGGGGCGCGGGGCUGCCAGCAGCAAAGGGUUCGCAGCGCCGCUUCCCGUUGUGACCCGGGGGUUUGAGAACGGGAUUCCAGGUCGCCAAACAAAAAAAAGCAGUUUACAUUUGCGACACCGUUUUCGGUUGGUAUAAAUGCGUGAGCUGCACGUUUUCAAAUGGCUGUACUGAAUUGCAGUCGGAUAUUCAACUCAAAAAUCUGAUCGUGUCUCUCUGCUGGACUUUCAUAAUCUUAGAAGGGAGAAAUAUCCCUCACUUCACAAUCACACCUUAUUCAUGUCUUCGCUUUUUGGUGCUGCGGACGUUUGUGAGCAGCCGUUUCCAAGGAUGAAGGGCAGGAAAAGUAAAAUUUCAUCAGAAAUCUCUGAUGAGCAUCUUGACACCUCACUAAGGAUUGCAAGCACGGCCGUGGAACCAGGCCGAGCCAUCAGCUGCACAAACACAAGCACGGGGUCAGACAUCCCACGGGUUUCACGGUGUUGUUGCUCUCUUUCCUUU